Long non-coding RNA from Carya illinoinensis, 613 nucleotides. RefSeq lists it as uncharacterized. The transcript has 3 exons. The record is from RefSeq and is a predicted model, not a curated record. Lineage: Eukaryota; Viridiplantae; Streptophyta; Magnoliopsida; Fagales; Juglandaceae.
GAGGCCCGCUACGGAGACAUAGGGAUCCAACAAACCAACAGUCGUGUUUUUUUUUUCGGAAACUUACCCGAGCAUUUAUGCCUCAGUCAUGCACUACCGUCCCGUUGAAUCCCCGCCAACCGUCCUGUUUAGCAUUUCCCAGCCCUGCGUUCCGUUUCACAAGUUUUCUUUUCCACCUGUGCAUUUGAGCUUCCAUCGGCCACCGGUUAUCAUUUUUGUUGAUAAUUCUGGUGCAUAUAUUAUUUUGGGUAUUUUGCCAUUUGCAAGAAAAUUACUACGACGUGGGACUCAGCCAUUGCAUUUUGGGAUCUAUAUGUGUGAAACACAUUGCCUUCACUUUUACUUGCACCCCUGUCGUGCUUAUCUCCUGCAUGAACUGGCAAGCAUAUGAUAGAAAGCGGUUUUGUCAAAAUUUUGCAAUAUAAUAAAUUACCAAUGUGAACGGAUUCUACCUUCUUGAGCUAGCAAGUGGUUUUGUCAAAAUCAUGUACAUGUCCAUUUUUAAGUCAUACAUGAUAAACCAGCUAGGUGGGCCCCCGUAUCCACCCCCGGCCCAUCUGUCUGCACCCACCUUGUACCAGAAGAAUGGUUGGGCACUUGUAUAAAAGAAGGA